GACGAACGCUGGCGGCGUGCCUAAUACAUGCAAGUAGGACGCACAGUUUAUACCGUAGCUUGCUACACCAUAGACUGUGAGUUGCGAACGGGUGAGUAACGCGUAGGUAACCUGCCUAUUAGAGGGGGAUAACUAUUGGAAACGAUAGCUAAUACCGCAUAACAGUAUGUAACACAUGUUAGAUGCUUGAAAGAUGCAAUUGCAUCGCUAGUAGAUGGACCUGCGUUGUAUUAGCUAGUAGGUAGGGUAAUGGCCUACCUAGGCGACGAUACAUAGCCGACCUGAGAGGGUGAUCGGCCACACUGGGACUGAGACACGGCCCAGACUCCUACGGGAGGCAGCAGUAGGGAAUCUUCGGCAAUGGGGGGAACCCUGACCGAGCAACGCCGCGUGAGUGAAGAAGGUUUUCGGAUCGUAAAGCUCUGUUGUUAAGGAAGAAACGAG
This 444-nucleotide ribosomal RNA is filed under the name Streptococcus anginosus. RNAcentral's name for it is "bacterial SSU rRNA". It matches the Rfam family "Bacterial small subunit ribosomal RNA", at positions 28 to 454 of the family's 1533-position model. The record is from RNAcentral. Lineage: Bacteria; Bacillati; Bacillota; Bacilli; Lactobacillales; Streptococcaceae.